GUGAUCAAAGGAUCGGAUAUUUAUCUUUGCGUCGGAAAAUAAUGGUAUGGUGGUUUGCAAAUAAGAUGACCUCUUUGGAAAAAUACAAUGUGUAUGUCUUGGAUCUGUGGGUAGUAUUGGAUCGAUACUGUGUA
RNAcentral lists this small RNA (134 nucleotides) under Asterionellopsis glacialis. RNAcentral describes it as "partial Alphaproteobacteria transfer-messenger RNA". The record is from RNAcentral. Lineage: Eukaryota; Bacillariophyta; Plagiogrammaphyceae; Rhaphoneidales; Asterionellopsidaceae.